Non-coding RNA from Erythranthe guttata (spotted monkey flower), 2662 nucleotides. The record is from RefSeq and is a predicted model, not a curated record. Lineage: Eukaryota; Viridiplantae; Streptophyta; Magnoliopsida; Lamiales; Phrymaceae.
AGAAGCAGUUUGCCCCCUAAAUUAAUGUCCGUUUUGCGCUUUGCCCCCCAAAUAAUUUUUUUUUGCACGUUUUUACCUAAACUCGUGUUUUUGUUGCACGUUGCCCUAAAAACGGUAUUUUCCGGUGAUUUCCGCCGGAAUACUAGACAUGUGCGAAUCACGUGAGUUUGGCAGGGGCAAACUUGUCUAUUCACUUGCAUUCCCCCUUUUUCUCCAUCGUCUUGCUCUGUAUUUUUAUUUUUUACUUUUCUUUUUAUUUUUAUUUUUUUCUCCAGAAUCUCUUUUCUCAAAUUCUCAAAUACACAAAAUCAAAUUCUUCAUUUCUCCCCUUGAUUAGUCUUCUUCUUUUCCCCCGUUCUUUAAUCACUUAUAGUGCAGAAGAAAAUGCUUUCCCCAAAUUCCUCCUCCGCUGCCACCUCCAAUUUCCGCCGCAGUUAUUCUCCCUUUUUGGCCUUCAUCCUACUCCCUUUUCAAUUUUGUACAGGAAUUUUGGACAUGAGAGGAUUGGGGGAUGGGCAGACCGAGGGUUCUUUUGCUUUUUCCCCCUCACGAGAAUGCUUCAGCAUAUCAAUUUUCUAUGCUCCUGCAAAAAAAAUAAAAUAAAAAAAUCAUCUAUUCAAUAGUCCAGCAACUAAGAGUAAAAAAAAAAAAAGCACUUGCUUUUUAAUCUUAAUUAAAUCAAAAUCUCAACUUUGCCUGGGUCUGUCUUCAGUAGCAAAAAAAAAAAAACUCCAUUGUUGUUUGCUUUAAUAUAAAGGUUAAUGUUUUUGAACUGUUUGUGUGAUGUUAUUGUUUGGAUUUUGGAUUGGGGUACAAUUUUAUAUUCUUCGAAUGUAAGAAUUUCUUAGUCGGGAGAGGAUUGAAAUAAGAUGGGAAAAUUAUUUUCUUCAGAUUCGAGAAUUGGGGAUUCUUUUCGAAUAAUCAAUUGGACUGUGAAAUUGAGUUUUACGAUUCCCCUCAUCCAUCGAGAAAAUAUUGCUGACAAGUGGGAUCUUGGAGGCAAAGUGAGAUGAAUUUCCAAGUUAAAAGGGAGAAUUGUGUAGAUCGAGAGUGGGAGAGUGCAGAAAUAUUGAGAAAAUUGCUUUAACAAAAAUAAUAAUUCAUCCUACUCCUUCAGUUGUGGUGUGAGAAAGAAGAUUUUUCACAGAGGAGAAAAGUGUUUCAAAGGGAGAAAAUAUGCGUCAAAAAAUGGAGGAUGAGGGAUGGUGUUGAUAGAGAAGAAGGGGAAUGAAGAAUACUAGUUAAUAGACAAGUUUGCCCCUGCCAAACUCACGUGAUUCACGCAUGUCUAGUAUUCCGGCGGAAAUCACCGGAAAAUACCGUUUUUAGGGCAACGUGCAACAAAAACACGAGUUUAGGUAAAAACGUGCAAAAAAAAAUUGUUUGGGGGGCAAAGCGCAAAACAGGCAUUAGUUUAGGGGGUAAACUGCUUCUUACUCUAAUAUAAAUAUCCAAUUUACAUUUUUACUGCAAGCAUUUGGGAUGAGUUGGUAGUUUGUAUAUUGAUUAUAGCAUUUCUCAAUUGGAUGUGGAGUAGGGCUUCUUAGUUGUGGAAAAAGCUUAAAAGUAAUCAAAUAUAGUAAUUUAAUUCUAAUUACCUAUUGGGACUCGGGAGGGUUUGAUGAUUUUGCGUGCCGGGUAUUUUUGUUAAUUCUAAUUAAAUUUUUACCGUGUUGAGUUCGAAAAUAAGUUAUCGUCUUGGUGCACUUCCCUUAAAUUAUUGACAGAUUACAGCAAUCUUGCGUAUCUUUUAGCAAAAUUUUGUGAUUGAGAGUAGGUGUUUUUGAAAACCUUACGAAAUUUAAGUAUAAAGAAGCUUUUAUCUUCGGAUUUUUUUGGAAGGAUAACAUGUUCGGCAGAAAUCGACUAUUUGAUAGGUUUUUAGUUUCGAGUGGUACCUUCUUAUUGUUUCUUUGUGAAGUGGGAAUAAUUUGUGCAAAACAUUUUCAUAUUUAAUAAUGAUGAUACUAGAUUACGGCGGUCAGCAGUUGUUGAUUCAUGACGGGAAAGUAUUGAAAGACGAAAGCAACUUGGCGGAAAACAAGGUCUCUGAAGAUGGGUUUCUUGUCGUCAUGCUAAAACCAAGCCUGCAGCUACUGCUACACCAGCUGGUAAUCCCACUUCAACAGCUGCAGCUUCGCCACUGGAGCCGGUCCCUAAUAGCAGCGGAUUAGCUUCUGUCCCUCCGACAAGAAAUGAGCCUUCCGAUUCUUAUGCUCAAGCUGCUACCAAUUUAACUGGCGGUAGUAAUAAUGAGCAGACAAUCCAACAAUUAAUCGACAUGGGUGGUGGCAGUUGGGACAACGAGACAGUCACCAGUGCCCUUCCUGCUGCUUAUAAUAACGCAGAACGGGCUGUGGAUUACUCGUAUUCAGGAUAUAUUUGACGAGGGUGAUAGUGACGAAGAAAUGCCCCAUGCUGUUAGUGUCACGCCAGAAGAGGAGGCAUCCAUCGAAAGAAUGGAGGCCAUAGGUUUCGAAAGGGCUCUUGUUAUCGAGGCAUUUUUGGCGUGUGAUUGCAACGAAGAAUUAGCAGUCAACUAUCUAUUGGAGAAUGCUGCUGAUUACGAGGAUUGAAACGUUUGACUGUAUGAUAGAUUUUCUCGGUACAAAUGUUUGAAGAGUUUUUAUAUAUCAUAAAAAAAAAAGAAGAAUUUUAUUCU